GCGUUUUUCGCAGCGGAGCUCGACCGUCCCACGACGAGAUGAUCGCAUAUAUCGAUAUGUUCAGGGAUCGUUUCGGGGUCGAGCCCAUCUGUCGUGUUUUG
This 101-nucleotide non-coding RNA is filed under the name uncultured Yaniella sp. The record is from RNAcentral. Lineage: Bacteria; Bacillati; Actinomycetota; Actinomycetes; Micrococcales; Micrococcaceae.